Regulatory RNA element from Acetivibrio ethanolgignens, 142 nucleotides. It matches the Rfam family "Ribosomal protein L10 leader". From Rfam's summary of the family: This family is a putative r-protein leader autoregulatory structure found in B. subtilis and other low-GC Gram-positive bacteria. NCBI's taxonomy places the organism in Bacteria, Bacillati, Bacillota, Clostridia, Acetivibrionales, Acetivibrionaceae. The record is from Rfam.
CAGAUAAUAUAAAAGCUGCCGAAGACAGCAGGUGUCCGCGGAACACAGAUUCCAAGGACGUAAGUAUAUCGCCUGCCGAGGAAGAGUAUAUGAUGACUUUUCGCCCUCACUGUCUUGCAGUGGGGGCUUUUCGGUUUGUUAA